GACGAACGCUGGCGGCGUGCUUAACACAUGCAAGUCGAACGGAAAGGCCCUGCUUUUGUGGGGUGCUCGAGUGGCGAACGGGUGAGUAACACGUGAGUAACCUGCCCUUGACUUUGGGAUAACUUCGGGAAACUGGGGCUAAUACCGGAUAGGAGCUCCUGCUGCAUGGUGGGGGUUGGAAAGUUUCGGCGGUUGGGGAUGGACUCGCGGCUUAUCAGCUUGUUGGUGGGGUAGUGGCUUACCAAGGCUUUGACGGGUAGCCGGCCUGAGAGGGUGACCGGCCACAUUGGGACUGAGAUACGGCCCAGACUCCUACGGGAGGCAGCAGUGGGGAAUAUUGCAUAAUGGGCGGAAGCCUGAUGCAGCAAUGCCGCGUGCGGGAUGACGGCCUUCGGGUUGUAAACCGCUUUCGCCUGUGACGAAGCGUGAGUGACGGUAAUGGGUAAAGAAGCACCGGCUAACUACGUG
This 468-nucleotide ribosomal RNA is filed under the name uncultured bacterium. RNAcentral describes it as "partial 16S ribosomal RNA". It matches the Rfam family "Bacterial small subunit ribosomal RNA", at positions 28 to 507 of the family's 1533-position model. The record is from RNAcentral.